UACAGAGGUCUCGAGCGUUAGGCGGAAUCACUGGGCUUAAAGCGUGUGUAGGCGGCUCGUUAAGUACCUUGUGAAAUCCCACGGCUUAACCGUGGAACUGCUUGGUAUACUGGCGGUCUUGAGCCAGCUAGGGGCUACCGGAACAAAUGGUGGAGCGGUGAAAUGCGUAGAUAUCAUUUGGAACGCCAAUGGUGAAAACAGGUAGCUGGGGCUGUGCUGACGCUGAGACACGAAAGCCAGGGGAGCAAACGGG
This 253-nucleotide ribosomal RNA is filed under the name uncultured bacterium. RNAcentral's name for it is "partial 16S ribosomal RNA". It matches the Rfam family "Bacterial small subunit ribosomal RNA", at positions 524 to 776 of the family's 1533-position model. The record is from RNAcentral.